RNAcentral lists this ribosomal RNA (421 nucleotides) under Dickeya chrysanthemi. RNAcentral's name for it is "bacterial SSU rRNA". It matches the Rfam family "Bacterial small subunit ribosomal RNA", at positions 958 to 1378 of the family's 1533-position model. The record is from RNAcentral. Lineage: Bacteria; Pseudomonadati; Pseudomonadota; Gammaproteobacteria; Enterobacterales; Pectobacteriaceae.
AACGCGAAGAACCUUACCUACUCUUGACAUCCAGAGAAUUUGGCAGAGAUGCCUUAGUGCCUUCGGGAGCUCUGAGACAGGUGCUGCAUGGCUGUCGUCAGCUCGUGUUGUGAAAUGUUGGGUUAAGUCCCGCAACGAGCGCAACCCUUAUCCUCUGUUGCCAGCACGUUAUGGUGGGAACUCAGGGGAGACUGCCGGUGAUAAACCGGAGGAAGGUGGGGAUGACGUCAAGUCAUCAUGGCCCUUACGAGUAGGGCUACACACGUGCUACAAUGGCGCAUACAAAGAGAAGCGACCUCGCGAGAGCAAGCGGACCUCAUAAAGUGCGUCGNAGUCCGGAUUGGAGUCUGCAACUCGACUCCAUGAAGUCGGAAUCGCUAGUAAUCGUAGAUCAGAAUGCUACGGUGAAUACGUUCCCGGG